UACGGAAGGCAGCAGUGGGGGAAUAUUGCACAAUGGGCGCAAGCCUGAUGCAGCCAUGCCGCGUGUAUGAAGAAGGCCUUCGGGUUGUAAAGUACUUUCAGUCGUGAGGAAGGUGUUAAGGUUAAUAACCUUAGCAAUUGACGUUAGCGACAGAAGAAGCACCGGCUAACUCCGUGCCAGCAGCCGCGGUAAUACGGAGGGUGCGAGCGUUAAUCGGAAUUACUGGGCGUAAAGGGCACGCAGGCGGUUAAUUAAGUUGGAUGUGAAAUCCCCGGGCUUAACCUGGGAAUGGCAUUCAAGACUGGUUAGCUAGAGUCUUGUAGAGGGGGUAGAAUUCCAUGUGUAGCGGUGAAAUGCGUAGAGAUGUGGAGGAAUACCGGUGGCGAAGGCGGCCCCUGGCAAAACUGACGCUCAUGUGCGAAAGCGUGGGGAGCAAACAGGGAUUAGAUACC
Molecule: ribosomal RNA, 452 nt
Filed under: uncultured bacterium
Lineage: Bacteria
Description: bacterial SSU rRNA
Rfam family: Bacterial small subunit ribosomal RNA
Source: RNAcentral